RNAcentral lists this long non-coding RNA (2373 nucleotides) under Gossypium barbadense (sea-island cotton). Its description in RNAcentral is "long non-coding RNA (GBAR_LNC000853)". The record is from RNAcentral. Lineage: Eukaryota; Viridiplantae; Streptophyta; Magnoliopsida; Malvales; Malvaceae.
UGCUUUGGCACUAUCAUGAUAGUUUCCUGAGUUUUGGAAUUGUUUUGGCACCAUGGUAUCUACCUUCUCCAUUGUCCCAAAUUGUGCUUUGGCACUAUCAUUAUGGAACAUCCUUCUUGCCAUCAAUGACCAUCCAUCCUGAUUCUGAACUGAAGUUUCCAGAGGCAGCAUCAUUAACGUGCUCUUGCUGGUGUGACUGAAGUGAGUCAUCAAGUACUCAUUUCAGUGACUGAAGUAGAACUCAGUUCACUCCUUAUGGCCUCUUCGACUUAAGCCAAAGGCCUAUGGGCAUUUAAACCCGAUUUUCUUGCACUAAAUCUGCAUGUGCACUGACCAAAGGCGUUCCUCAACGUGCUUUUCUUGCAUACAAUUUUCAUUGCUUUUGUCUUUCAGUUUCCCCAAGGUCUGACGCUUGUAGUUUGCUUCCCGUUCCCCUUCUCUCUGAAAAAUAUCAUCCUGCAUUGCCUCUUUCGUAUAAGCUACGCACCUCCCCCUUCCAGUUACAUGUAUGGUACCUACGUAUCCUAAAAGAAACAAUACAAAAAUGCAUGAAAUAGAAGAGUUCAUAUAUCUUAUAAAUAUUCAAAAUUUGUUGAAUAUGAGUAACUUAAAAGAAUAGAAAAUCAAUAAAUAAAAUAAAACAGAACAAAGUCAUUGGUGAAGAAGAAAACAGAGUGAAUUUGGAGGUGGAUUAUAGGACCUGAUUGAAUCAUGGAUCAACAAUGGAAAUAUGUGAGAAAACUGCUGAUAACAACUUUUUGUAAGUGAUUAUACAAACCCACAGUAUAUAACCUAAACAGAGAUUGAUGAGUUUAAGGCCCUGUAUAUGAAAAUAUAUAGCAAUUUACAAAACGAUUAUUCAGUCUGUUUUUACAUUGUUGAUGUUCAAACAUUAUUUUCUGGAAAAUGAGUUUUAGGGUUUUCAAUUUUUUUUUGUAAUUACUUAACAGUAAGGUAAAGUGAUGAAGUUCAUCCUCAAAAGACAGAAUAAAAAACGAACAUAGCAUAAUUUUAAAUUUAUUUUUACCUUAUUCUAUUCUGAAUAUAUUUAUAUAAAAACAAAAGAUGGCAGGCAGCUGUAAGUAACCCUAGCAGAUUUGAGUGGAGCAAAAACUUGUAAACCCCAAAUGGCAGAUUGGUCUCGACUCCUGCCGGAACUUGUAGUUCUAAUAGCCAAAUGCCUUGAAGCCCGAUUGAUAUUCUCAGAUUCCGAUCCGUCUGCUCUUCAUGGCGUUCCUCUGUUCCACUCCCACCAAAACUUAACCCUUUAUUACCCACAAAUCUCCCUUUACCAAGGCGUGGUAGAGGUGAAUGGUCUCUGAGCUAUAUUUCCGUAAACACCCUUUACCUUAUUAGAUCGUCUCGCGCUAACCAAACAGAAGCCCCAACUUGCUAGUUGGCCAAAAUCAGAGAUGCAACUGACCAUCACCGUGUCGAAAUGCAACUGUUGAAUCCUCCUUGGCUGGAACGUCCUCCGAGAAACUUUCCGAAGGUAUUGGAUUUAACCAACUUUCAGGUCCUUGAAUUGGGUCAUGAGCACGUUGGUCAUUAUGAUGUUAGUAUUGAUCAUCCUAUAGAGGCCCAUUACGCAACCUACCGACUGAAAGUUGUCUUCUUGCGGUCAAGUACUAUCGAUAGUGAUGAUUUUAUAAUGUUUUCCAUGUUCGGGAUCUCGGCCGUUCUGAGAUCGGGAGAAAAGAAUGGAUUGUGCUUGAAAAUGUGGGUUGCCUUGGGGAUAUUAUUUCAUUCAAUGGGAAAUUCUAUGCCAUCGACGGAAACGGAAGAACUAUAGCCAUUGACCAAUCUUUAAACGUUAGGUUCCUACCACAUGUAGAGUGGUCGCGCUUCCAGAUGCAGAAAGUUCUUGGUUAAGUCCGUUGAUAAUUUGUUGUUCCUAGAAAUGUUUUGGGAAGCGGGGAAUGUGGUUCGUGUUAGAGUUUUGAGGAUGAAUGAAGAAGAGCACAAGUGGGAUGAGAUGGAUAGUUUGAGUUUGAGGGAUCGGAUCUUGUUUAUGGGUUUUCAUGAAGCAAUAUCCGCGCCAGCUUCGGAAUUUGGUUGGGGUAGAGGAAACCUCAUCUUCUAUCCGGAAAAUCUCUCCGACUAUCCAGGAUUUGGUAAUCAUGAGUAUGGAAUUUGGUAUAAAUAUAUGCUUGUGUUUGAUUUAGAAACAGGUACAGCCAGUCGCUUAGAGAAUUGCCCUGCCUACCGUAACUUGUUUUGGCCACCUCCAGAAUGGGUAACUUCUUCCACUGAAGUUAUAAGCAACUCCGCUCAUUCCAUAACUUCUGCUACAUCAAAAAGUGAGUGCACGUAUCUUGAACCCGAUUUAGCCAUCUCUCCAACAGCAAAUACCUUGAAAAUAGUAACUUCUUC